Molecule: ribosomal RNA, 254 nt
Filed under: uncultured bacterium
Lineage: Bacteria
Description: partial 16S ribosomal RNA
Rfam family: Bacterial small subunit ribosomal RNA
Source: RNAcentral
UACGUAGGGUGCAAGCGUUGUCCGGAAUUAUUGGGCGUAAAGAGCUCGUAGGCGGUGUGUCACGUCGGCCGUGAAAACCUGGGGCUUAACUCUGGGCGUGCGGUCGAUACGGGCAUCACUAGAGUUCGGCAGGGGAGACUGAAUUCCUGGUGUAGCGGUGAAAUGCGCAGAUAUCAGGAGGAACACCGGUGGCGAAGGCGGGUCUCUGGGCCGAUACUGACGCUGGAGGAGCGAAAGCAUGGGGAGCGAACAGG